RNAcentral lists this unclassified non-coding RNA (237 nucleotides) under Hevea brasiliensis (rubber tree). The record is from RNAcentral. Lineage: Eukaryota; Viridiplantae; Streptophyta; Magnoliopsida; Malpighiales; Euphorbiaceae.
CCUAGCAUGGUGAGACAGAGGAUAAUUUGCUUUGCUAAAGGAGGUUAUAUCAGUAGCAAACCAUUGCUUGUUUGUUGUGAAUGCUUUGCCAACUAUCCCCUGAUCUAGAAAAAGGUAUUGCUCAGAGCAUGCUUCAUGGAAUCCCAGGAGAUCACUAUCAGCUACAUAGCAAGCAGAAUCCACAGUGGAUAUACAAUAAUCAUACUUCUCAGAAAAUUGCCAGUGUUCAGCUUCUCC